This is a long non-coding RNA of Canis lupus familiaris (dog), 893 nucleotides long. RefSeq lists it as uncharacterized. Lineage: Eukaryota; Metazoa; Chordata; Mammalia; Carnivora; Canidae. The record is from RefSeq and is a predicted model, not a curated record. The transcript is spliced from 3 exons.
GUCCCGCAUCGGGCACCUGCAUGGAGCCUGCUUCUCCCUCUGCCUGUGUCUCUGCUCCUCUCUCUGGGUCUCUCAUGAAUAAAUAAAUAAAAUCUUUAAAAAAAAGAAUAAACCCAAAUUCUAACUACAUUUUUGAGUUACUCGCCACUGGGUACUCCAUGAGUUAAGUGUGAUGUACAUGUUACUAAACCUCUGUUUUUCUCUUGUUAAUGCGUCUUUUGUUGGUCUAUUUUGCAGGGACCCAGCUGAUGAACAUGUGAUGGGUAGAAGAAAAGGAAAAUUUUCUUCCUAAAUUUCCUUCCCUACAUAAGUCAGAAAUGUUCUUCAAGUAGCUUCUUUAUAGAAGUAUGCUCUCUAAACCAAGAGGCUCCCAUCAAAUCUUAACAUGGUGAAGACGCUUCAGCAACAGGCCAAAAUAAUAAGCUCAAGGUGCCCAAACCCUUCAGUAGGGGAAAGGACAGUUCUUUUCAACAAAUGAUGCUGAGAAAAACCUGGAUAGCCAUAUGGAGAAGAAUGAAGUGGGACCUUUACCCCCCCCCAGCAUAUAAAAAAAAGUAACUGAAAAUGGAUCCAAACUAUACCACUCUCAGAAGAAAACAUAGGGGAAAACCUCCACGUUGGAUUUGGCAGUGAUGUUUUUGGUUAUGAUGUCAAAAAUAUAGGCAAUAAAAAUAAAAAUAAAUUGGACUGCUCCAAAAUUAGAGACUUCUCUGGAUGAAAGGACACAAUCAAUAGAAUGACAAGGCAACCUAUGGAAAGGGACAAAAUGAGAGUCGUAUUUCCGAUAAGGGGUUAACAUUCAGGAUAUAUAAGGAGCUUCUACAACUCAGUAACCAAAAAACCCCCAGAUAACUUCAUUAAAGAAUGGGCAAAAAAAAAAAAAAAAAAAAAAA